This 101-nucleotide small nuclear RNA is filed under the name Carlito syrichta (Philippine tarsier). Lineage: Eukaryota; Metazoa; Chordata; Mammalia; Primates; Tarsiidae. The record is from RNAcentral.
UGAUGCAAACCACCAACCAGAUAACAAGAGUUCAGCAAAUGAGAGAAGCAUGGCCCCUGCGCAAGGAUGACACGCAAAUCUGCGAAGCGUUCCAUAUUUUU